RNAcentral lists this ribosomal RNA (494 nucleotides) under uncultured bacterium. RNAcentral's name for it is "partial 16S ribosomal RNA". It matches the Rfam family "Bacterial small subunit ribosomal RNA", at positions 28 to 507 of the family's 1533-position model. The record is from RNAcentral.
GACGAACGCUGGCGGCGUGCUUAACACAUGCAAGUCGAACGGAAAGGCCUGCUUUCCCUUGUGGAUUGCGGGUACUCGAGUGGCGAACGGGUGAGUAACACGUGAGUGAUCUGCCCCCAACUUGGGUAUAAGCCUGGGUAACUGGGUCUAAUUCCCGAUAGGACUGCAGGGUGGUGCCUGUGGUGGAACAAGAUCUUCUCGUGGUUGGGGAUGAGCUCUCGGGCUAUCAGCUUGUUGGUGGGGUAAUGGCCUACCAAGGCGGCGACGGGUAGCCGGCCUGGGAGGGUGGACGGCGACAUUGGGACUGAGAUACGGCCCAGACUCCUACGGGAGUAAGCAGUGGGGAAUAUUGCACAAUAGUCGGAAGCCUGAUGCAGCGACGCCGCGUGAGGGAUGACGGCCUUCGAGUUGUAAACGCCUUUCGAGCGCGAGGAAGCCACCUGGUUGGAAGGGUGGUGACGGUAGUGGUAGAAGAAGCACCGGCUAACUACGUG